UACGAAGGGUGCAAACGUUGCUCGGAAUCAUUGGGCGUAAAGCGCACGUAGGCGGCCUUGCAAGUCGGAUGUGAAAUCCCACGGCUCAACCGUGGACGUGCAUCCGAAACUGCUCGGCUCGAGUAUGGAAGAGGGUCGCGGAAUUCCUGGUGUAGCGGCGAAAUGCGCAGAUAUCAGGAGGAACACCGGUGGCGAAGGCGGGACUCUGGGCCGAUACUGACGCUGAGGAGCGAAAGCGUGGGGAGCAAACAGG
RNAcentral lists this ribosomal RNA (253 nucleotides) under uncultured bacterium. Its description in RNAcentral is "partial 16S ribosomal RNA". It matches the Rfam family "Bacterial small subunit ribosomal RNA", at positions 524 to 776 of the family's 1533-position model. The record is from RNAcentral.